UGGGGAAUAUUGCACAAUGGGCGCAAGCCUGAUGCAGCGACGCCGCGUGAGGGAUGACGGCCUUCGGGUUGUAAACCUCUGUUAGCAGGGAAGAAGAGAAAUUGACGGUACCUGCAGAGAGAGCGCCGGCUAACUACGUGCCAGCAGCCGCGGUAAUACGUAGGGCGCGAGCGUUGUCCGGAAUUAUUGGGCGUAAAGAGCUUGUAGGCGGUUUGUCGCGUCUGCUGUGAAAGGCCGGGGCUUAACCCCGUGUAUUGCAGUGGGUACGGGCAGACUAGAGUGCAGUAGGGGAGACUGGAACUCCUGGUGUAGCGGUGGAAUGCGCAGAUAUCAGGAAGAACACCGAUGGCGAAGGCAGGUCUCUGGGCUGUAACUGACGCUGAGAAGCGAAAGCAUGGGGAGCGAACAGGAUUAGAUACCCUGGUAGUCCAUGCCGUAAACGUUGGGCACUAGGUGUGGGGGACAUUCCACGUUUUCCGCGCCGUAGCUAACGCAUUAAGUGCCCCGCCUGGGGAGUACGGCCGCAAGGCUA
Molecule: ribosomal RNA, 532 nt
Filed under: uncultured bacterium
Lineage: Bacteria
Description: bacterial SSU rRNA
Rfam family: Bacterial small subunit ribosomal RNA
Source: RNAcentral